UACAGAGGUCUCGAGCGUUAGGCGGAAUCACUGGGCUUAAAGCGUGUGUAGGCGGAUCGUUAAGUGCCUUGUGAAAUCCCACGGCUCAACCGUGGAACUGCUUGGCAUACUGGCGGUCUUGGGCAACCUAGGGGCGAGCGGAACAAAUGGUGGAGCGGUGAAAUGCGUAGAUAUCAUUUGGAACGCCAAUGGUGAAAACAGCUCGCUGGGGGUUUGCUGACGCUGAGACACGAAAGCCAGGGGAGCAAACGGG
This 253-nucleotide ribosomal RNA is filed under the name uncultured bacterium. Its description in RNAcentral is "partial 16S ribosomal RNA". It matches the Rfam family "Bacterial small subunit ribosomal RNA", at positions 524 to 776 of the family's 1533-position model. The record is from RNAcentral.